CUACAAAUCACCUGGGAAUUUUGGUAAAACACAGAUCGUGAGUCAGCAGCCCCAGCGUGGAGUGCAGCCUGAGGUUUUGCAUUUCUAACAAGCUCCCUGGUAAUACCCAU
This 110-nucleotide microRNA precursor is filed under the name Marmota monax (woodchuck). The record is from RNAcentral. Lineage: Eukaryota; Metazoa; Chordata; Mammalia; Rodentia; Sciuridae.